CAGCCGCCGCGGUAACACGGAGGGGGCUAGCGUUGUUCGGAAUUACUGGGCGUAAAGCGCACGUAGGCGGCUUGGUAAGUUAGAGGUGAAAGCCUGGAGCUCAACUCCAGAAUUGCCUUUAAGACUGCCGAGCUAGCAGGUGAGAGAGGUAAGUGGAAUUCCGAGUGUAGAGGUGAAAUUCGUAGAUAUUCGGAAGAACACCAGUGGCGAAGGCGGCUUACUGGCUCAUACUGGACGCUGAGGUGCGAAAGCGUGGGGAGCAAACAGGAUUAGAUACCCCGGUAGUCCCUGUCUCUUAUAA
RNAcentral lists this ribosomal RNA (301 nucleotides) under uncultured bacterium. RNAcentral's name for it is "partial 16S ribosomal RNA". It matches the Rfam family "Bacterial small subunit ribosomal RNA", at positions 509 to 809 of the family's 1533-position model. The record is from RNAcentral.